AAAAAAAAGGGCAGGUUUGAAUGGUGGGGCAUAUUUGUCAUGUUCUCUGUACAAUGAUAGAGGGAGAAGUAAUCGAGCUAGACCUUGACCAAUAUGGGACUAUGAGAGACAGAAUGGCCUAGAUGGGUGACUAAAGGUGUUCAGGGGAUGACAGGUAUCCCUUUUGGACUAAGGACUGCUGAUGGGGCUGAGUAGGUAAGGCUUGAAGGAGAGCAGCCUGGGGAGGAUGAGACAAGAGGUAGGGAAACUGGUAGGGGCAUCACUGCUGUGGUCUGACCCAGAGUGGUGGCCCUGGAGGAGUGGAGGGUGGCUGUCUGAGAUGGAGGAGAGGUGAAGGAAUCAGAACUAGUAGGUUCAUAGGGCACAUGGGUUAGAAAGGAAAAAUAUUAAAACAGUGAGGUUUCCAAGAUGGAAAUGGUAGCUUUGAUAGUAAAAUUAGACAAGUUGGAGGGCUACUAGCUAGAUUAGGCACUGAGCUGUAGGUGAA
Molecule: long non-coding RNA, 487 nt
Filed under: Homo sapiens (human)
Lineage: Eukaryota; Metazoa; Chordata; Mammalia; Primates; Hominidae
Description: HSALNT0275476
Source: RNAcentral